AAACAGAAAAGUGAGCAGCAGUUGAGGUCCUUCCGUGAGAUAAAUGGUCUCCCGUGCCCAUCGGGCAGCGAAACCCUAGAAUCGAAUCGACGCGAGGCGAGGCAGAGGCGGCGACCGAGACAAGCGAAAAGGAAACCGCGGAGGAGGCGAAGGAAGAUGCAAUCAUGUUCCGGCGGUCUGUCGGUUCCCUCCUCGCACGGAGGUUCGCGCCACGUGCGACCCCAAGGACUGCUCCUGCGCGCUCUCUCCACUCCUUGACGGAUCUCGCCGUCGGUGAUGGCCUUCUUAAUGCUUAUGUUCUUGCCGCGUGUGCGUUGGCUGGUGGUGGUGGGGGGUUGGUGAUUCGGCAUUUCAAGGAAGGCACAGGUGUUGAUGGAUCAGCUGCUGCUGGCAAGCUGAACCACAAUGUCAAGUUUAAGAAGCCGGACAUGAAGGAGAGGUUUGAGCGUUGGAUCGUCGUGCACGGAAAGACAUACCGAGAUGAGGAAGAGAAGGCUAUGCGGUUCGAAUUGUUCAAGGCCUCCCUCGAGAGUGUGGAAUCGCAGCUCCCGUCGGUCGAGGAGAGUGGUGUGCUUCCAGGGGUAAGCUGUUUUGCAGACUUUACAGAUGAGGAGAUUCGGAACUUGCUGGCCUUUCCCGACGGAAUUGACGAGUCUGAGUACGACGAGAUGGUCAAGUCUGCCUGGGCCAAGCAACAGAAAGGAAUGAAAACAGGAGAGCCAUUGAAAUGGAGGCCAGGUAUGACUCAGGGCGACAUGCGGGCAACUCAAGGUUCUGCAUAGAAUGGUGUCUAUUUGGUUAAUAAUAUCAUAUCUGGUGAAAGUCAAGUGGCUGGUGUUCUUGGAAACUGCUCUAAGUUUAGUUUGCUGCUAUGUUAACUCUGAACGGAGAAACAUGUGAGGACCAACAAUGUUGUUUGCUUGAUCAGUCCUUGUUUCUCUUUGGCGUUGCUUCCUGGAGAUUUCUCUUUUCCACCGGAAGAGAAGCAUGGAAAAUAGGAUAUGAUGAUAUCCUGUUUGUUUGUGCUGAAGUACUGACCAAUCAGUUGACCACCUUCCAUUGAGCACAUAUAUUAAAUUAUCUAAAUCUAGCUAGAGAAACUUUUUGUGGAUUUUUUUGAGUUUUUUCGCAGCUAAAACUGGCCAAGCUGACACGUGCAUUAGUUUAAGAUAUGGGUGUGUACGAGUUGUUGUGUGCACUUUGCGGUGGCGAUAUGGGUGUGCAUGAAUUGUUGCGUGCACUUUACGGUUUCUAUGGUGAAGCGAAUCUUGAAUUGGUUUUUCUUUCAGUUCAAUUUCCCCCACCUGUCCAUAUAGGACUCAUAUAGAUAAGGUCAACUUCCACGGGAGCGGCGUUGCAGAGGCCGGGCUCCAUGGAGCCCGUUUUACAAAAGAAAAAAAAUCAGUAUAUACUUAAAAGUUACAGAAAAUAUCAUUUUUUAUACAAAUACAAGUAUGUAAAAAGUUUCAUUAGGUAAUUCGAUUACUUGCGUGCUAGGCAAAAAAGAUAAGUAUCUGGCUCAAGAACAACAAAGAGAAAGCCCAUUUUUAUCAGUGUAUUUGUCUUUUUGUAUACAUUACUUUUAGAUAUUUCAAUUAGUCUCCUCACUAUGUAGGUCAAAAGUGGUGCUAAAUUCAGUUUUGGGUCAUUUGGCACCGGUGCUCUUACAAGGAUUAGCACCUCAAUUUGAGGGGAGAAUUGAUUUUAACCCCCCCUGCGCGCUCCACUUUGAUCUUGUACCCCCAUGUUCGUGCGACUCGCUCUGAGCCCCCCUGUUCCGACUCGUUCUUUGCUGAUUGCCCCCUUCUUGUUGUUAUGCGUUCAGUUUGCUACUAAUGAAAGAAAAACUGGUCUGGUAAUAUUUCUAUUUGACGAAACUGCCCUCAAUACCCCCAACACGCUAGAUAAAAAAACCCUCACGCGAGACAGGGCCACCAGUUCGCUCGCUCGUUCCAGCUCUCCACCCAGCCGCCUAUUCGCUCUCGCCCCGCCGCCGCCCCUGCUGCUCCGCCGUCGCCCUGCUGCUCCGCCGUCGCCCUUGCUGCUUCGCCGCCCUCCAUUGCUGCCCCAAGGUAAGGCAAGCUUCCCCCUUCCCUUUUCCAUGGAGUUGGUGUAGUUCCCCUUGUACGGACGUCUAAAUCUUAGAAACCCUAGGUACCGAGGGAGAUGGGGAUUUGAGUGAGAGGGGUUGGAUCGGCAAAGGGGUGUGAUGGAUCUGAAAAGGUAACAUCAUAUUCCCUUGUUUUGGUUUGAUGUAUGCAUGACUUUUUGUGUGAAAUUUCUGAUUUUUUUGUCUAUAUUGAAUAGGAUCGAUGCAAUGUCUGUGCAUGAUUCUAAUCAAUCCAGUGUGACAAACCUAACCACGAGGAUGGUCUCGUGCAAUGAAGUAGAAACCGUUGGUACCAUUGUCGAUUGGUCAAGUCUUGUGAUCGAACCUGAAAAUGAUGGGGAUGAAAAGGGGAUUCCGGAUGAAAAGCCGGCGGACGAGAAAGCCAUGUUUGCUCUGUUGGGUUUGAAAACAGAGGAGGGCGAGGGAAAAACUAACCUUGGUCCUGUUGUCACUCCUACUCCUGAUUAUGACUUGGAUGAUGUCAAAGGGGCAGCUAUUGCUGUUGAUGAUAAUGCUCCAGAGGAGCCACUUAUUGCGUGGGAUGAACGAAAAUCAAAGAUGGAUAUAGGGACCCCUUAUCCUGAUAUGGCUGCGUUUAGAAAGGCUAUAAAACAGUUCACUAUCAAUGGAGAGUUCGAAUAUGGCACUAAAAAAAAUGAGCCGGCAAGGUUUCGGGCUUUUUGUAAAGGUCAAUCCAUGAUAGGCCAACCUUGCAAAUGGUCCUUAACUGCUAGUUGGCAGAGAGACGAAAAUUGUGUGAUGGUUGUGAAGCAUCAAACAGAACAUAUUUGUAGUUCAACGAGUGGAAAAGUGACUAGAAUGACAAGUCAAUCUUGGGUGGCUGACAAGGCAGCAACUAUGCUUAAGAAAGAUCCAACCAUUGGUGCUGUGAAGAUACUUAAAGAGUUACAGGAAGAGCAUCAUGUCACACUUGACUAUAACACAGUGUGGAAAGGCAAACAAAAGGCAACAACCAGCUUGUAUGGGAGUUGGGAAGAAAGUUUCAGGAUGUUGUACAACUACAAGGCCGAGAUAGAAUUGAGGUCUCCAGGGAGUAUUGUAGAGAUUGAUACAACCACAAGUGAAGGUGAAGUACAUUUCAGCAAGCUAUUUAUUGCUUUCAAGCCAUGCAUAGAUGGGUUUCCGAAUGGAUGUAGGCCAUAUAUCAGCAUAGACUCAACUCACUUAAAUGGCAAGUGGAAAGGUCAGCUAGCUGUAGUCACUGCUUUGGACGGUGACAAUUGGAUGUUCCCGGUGGCGUAUGGCUUUAUUGAGUCUGAAAAUGGAGAAAAUUGGGCUUGGUUCAUGAAUCAAGUGAAGAAGGCAAUAGGGGACCCUCCAGUACUGGCUGUUUGUACGGAUGCUUGCAAGGGUCUUGAAAAUGCUGUUAAAAAGGUUUUCCCUCAAGCUGAGCAGCGUGAGUGCUUUAGGCAUAUGUGGCAUAAUUUUCAGAAAUAUUUUCAUGGUGAUGUGUUUGGACGGUUGUGGCCUGCUGCUAGGGCAUAUAGGGCGGAAGAAUAUCAACAUCACAUGACAAAGGUGUUUGAGGCAUCUGAGAAAGCGUAUCCUUACCUUAGGGAUUACCAUAAUCUGUUAUGGAUGAGGUGCAUGUUCAAUCCUGACAUCAAGUGUGACUACAUAAAUAACAAUCUUGCUGAGUGCUUUAAUUCUUGGGUGCGAGAAAUCAAGGACUUGCCGAUUGUUCAGCUAGCUGAUAAGAUUAGAGAGAUGAUUAUGGACCUAUUUAGAAAGAGGAGAAUGAUUGGAGAGAAAUUGGUAGGGAAAAUACUGCCAUUUGUCAUACACCAAUUAAAUGCAAAGACUCGAGGACUAGGACAUCUCAAGGCUAAAACAUCAGCUGAUUGGAGUGGAGAAGUGAAAAAUGAUAACAAAGGGGAUGAAAGACAUGUCGUCAAAACACUCACACAUGAGUGUACAUGUCUGCAAUGGCAGCACACAGGCAAGCCUUGUGACCAUGCACUAGCCUUCAUAAAUGUUUUGCAAGCUCGCAACUUUGUGAACAUGGAGGAUUAUGUGCACGGGUACUACUCAGUUAGCAGAUUCAGGGCAGCAUAUGAAGGUGUAAUUGAGCCCCUUACGGACAAGAAUCAGUGGCCACAUGUUGAUACAGGCUUUGUGUUGCGUCCACCAAUUCCAAAAGGCAAGAAAAAAGGUGCUGGAAGAACAAGAAAACAGAGGAUGAAGAGUUGGUGGGAAGGUUGAUCAAGGAAGGGAUCAUUGAACAAAUGCAACAAAUGUGGGGACGUAGGACAUAGAGAAGUCGGCUGUCCUCAAAAUGGAACAAAGAAACGGAAAAGUAUGGGGAAAAAGAAUCCAUCUCCAUGGUUUGAUGUCUCAGUUAGCAAUGUGAUUCCAUCUACACCAACCAAGAGCAAGAAUGUCGCCACUUGUAGCAGUCCUGGAGCUGUGACAAGAAGCCAAGCGGCAUCUCAAGCUAGUCCUGGAGCUGUCACAAGGAGCCAAGCAACAUCUGAAGCUGCUACUCCACCACCAAAGUCUCCAGCAAAAGGAAAGAAGAAGAAAAUGACUCCAAAGAGGAAGAAAUUAAGCGAUCUGUGAUGAACUUGUGUUAUUGCUAUGUGUGAGGUGCAGACUCACUUUAUUGUUCUGUAUGUGAGGUGCAAACUCUCCUUUUGGUCCUGUGUAAGUGAGGCAGAGACUCACUAUUAUUCUGCUAUGUGUGUGAGGUAGAGACUCACUUUAAUUCUGCUGUGUAAGUGAGGUGGAGACUCACCUUUAUUUGUUGUCAUGCAGUUCUGUAGAACCUUGCUGAACUUAUUAUA
This is an RNA transcript of Triticum aestivum (bread wheat), 4914 nucleotides long. RefSeq lists it as uncharacterized. Lineage: Eukaryota; Viridiplantae; Streptophyta; Magnoliopsida; Poales; Poaceae. The record is from RefSeq and is a predicted model, not a curated record. The transcript is spliced from 6 exons.